GAUGAACGCUGGCGGCGUGCCUAAUACAUGCAAGUCGAGCGAACAGACGAGGAGCUUGCUCCUCUGACGUUAGCGGCGGACGGGUGAGUAACACGUGGAUAACCUACCUAUAAGACUGGGAUAACUUCGGGAAACCGGAGCUAAUACCGGAUAAUAUAUUGAACCGCAUGGUUCAAUAGUGAAAGACGGUUUUGCUGUCACUUAUAGAUGGAUCCGCGCCGCAUUAGCUAGUUGGUAAGGUAACGGCUUACCAAGGCAACGAUGCGUAGCCGACCUGAGAGGGGGAGCGGCCACCGUGGAAUGGAGACCCGCCCAAGACCCGGAGGGGAGGCAGCAGUGGGGAAUCUCCGGAAAUGGGCGAAGGCAUGACGGAGCACCCCAGGGGGAGUGACGAAGUUUUACGGAGCGAAAAACGUUGUUAUGGGGGAAGAAAAAAUGUGUAAGUAACUAAGCACGUCUGGACGGUACCUAAUAAGAAAGCCCCGGCUAACUCCGUG
RNAcentral lists this ribosomal RNA (497 nucleotides) under uncultured bacterium. RNAcentral's name for it is "partial 16S ribosomal RNA". It matches the Rfam family "Bacterial small subunit ribosomal RNA", at positions 28 to 507 of the family's 1533-position model. The record is from RNAcentral.